UAAUACGGAGGUGGCGAGCGUUGUUCGGAAUUACUGGGCGUAAAGGGCGCGUAGGCGGGGGGAGAAGUCGGGUGUGAAAGCCCUCGGCUCAACCGAGGAACGGCGCUCGAGACUCUCUCUCUUGAGUCCCGGAGAGGCGGGUGGAAUUCCUGGUGUAGCGGUGAAAUGUGUAGAGAUCAGGAGGAACACCGGUGGCGUAAGCGGCCCGCUGGACGGAGACUGACGCUGAGGCGCGAAAGCGUGGGGAGCAAACGGGAUUAGAUACCCCGGUAGUCCACGCGGUAAACGAUGGGGGCUAGGUGUGGGGGGUAUCGACCCCCUCCGUGCCGAAGCUAACGCAUUAAGCCCCCCGCCUGGGGAGUACGGCCGCAAGGUUGAAACUUAAAUGAAUUGACGG
Molecule: ribosomal RNA, 397 nt
Filed under: uncultured bacterium
Lineage: Bacteria
Description: partial 16S ribosomal RNA
Rfam family: Bacterial small subunit ribosomal RNA
Source: RNAcentral